CAAUGGACGCAAGUCUGACCCAGCCAUGCCGCGUGCAGGAUGACAGCCUUAUGGGUUGUAAACUGCUUUUAUCAGGGAAUAACCCCCCGUACGUGUACGGGGCUGAAUGUACCUGAAGAAUAAGCAUCGGCUAACUCCGUGCCAGCAGCCGCGGUAAUACGGAGGAUGCAAGCGUUAUCCGGAUUUAUUGGGUUUAAAGGGUGCGCAGGCGGAUAAGUAAGUCAGUGGUGAAAUCUCUCGGCUCAACCGAGAAACUGCCAUUGAUAUUGUUUAUCUUGAGUGUAAAUGAAGUGGGCGGAAUGUAGCAUGUAGCGGUGAAAUGCAUAGAUAUGGUACAGAACACCAAUUGCGAAGGCAGCUCACUAAAUUACAACUGACGGUCAUGCAAGAAAGCGUGGGGAUCAAACAGGAUUAGAUACCUUGGUCGUCCACGCAGUAAACGAUGAUUACUCGUUGUGGCGAUACACAGUCAGCGACCAAAGC
RNAcentral lists this ribosomal RNA (483 nucleotides) under uncultured bacterium. RNAcentral's name for it is "bacterial SSU rRNA". It matches the Rfam family "Bacterial small subunit ribosomal RNA", at positions 369 to 853 of the family's 1533-position model. The record is from RNAcentral.